This 202-nucleotide ribosomal RNA is filed under the name uncultured bacterium. Its description in RNAcentral is "partial 16S ribosomal RNA". It matches the Rfam family "Bacterial small subunit ribosomal RNA", at positions 1301 to 1500 of the family's 1533-position model. The record is from RNAcentral.
CAGGCUGCAACUCGCCUGCAUGAAGUCGGAGUUGCUAGUAAUCGUGGAUCAGAAUGCCACGGUGAAUGCGUUCCCGGGUCUUGUACACACCGCCCGUCACACCAUGGGAGUCGGGAAUGCCCGAAGUCAGUGACCCAACCGGAAAGGGGGGGAGCUGCCGAAGGCAGGCCUGGUAACUGGGGUGAAGUCGUAACAAGGUACC